CUUUGACACUACUAUUGAAACUGACACGUUUCUAUGGAGAUCGCUGCCUUAUAUGGAGCUCGUGUCAAGGAGCCAAGAGAAGGGCUGCUGGCAACUGAUAAUCAAAGGCGACUGACUGGUCAGAGCCCUGAACUGGGGGGAGAGAAAAUGGGAGGCUAAGGCUGGGAGACGCCUGAAGAAAAGAUUCCUUCAUCAUUUCUAAGAUCAGAAUAAACGCUUGAUUUUGUCCCGAAAUAAUGAAGAGAUUUUCAAUGA
Molecule: long non-coding RNA, 255 nt
Organism: Parus major (Great Tit)
Lineage: Eukaryota; Metazoa; Chordata; Aves; Passeriformes; Paridae
Exons: 2
Source: RefSeq, a predicted model, not a curated record